CUCCAUAUAAUUCAUUUAUAUCAGAAAAUAAAUUUCUCAAUGAAUUAUUUGUUAAUAGGAUUCCUUUUUGGAAUGGCAUUAGUACUCUUUUGCUAUGUACACGCAUUGUUGAUAUUAAUUUGUCCAUUUGAUCUAGUAUUUAAUUUUGGUUUUUUAUAUCUAAACCAUACGCCAAACAUUUGGUGCUUUGUGAUACUAGGGAAUUUAACAUAUUAAACCACGCAUCAAUGAUAUUAAAUGUGUCUGACAACUAAACAAGCAUAUCAGGUAAACAUACAUAUUUUAAAACUUAUUUUUUUUAUCUUACUGCUUCUCAAUUACAAUUUUUUUCCAGCGUAUGAAAUAGCUGUUGUGACAGACUUAGAAAAAAGUUGUGCUGCUAACUUUACUUUUUGCCGCAUUGGACGCGAACAAGUCAAAUGGGCAUCAGUAAGCUUAAAUGCCAAUUUCAGAUCUUGCUUGCUCAUGCCCAGCAAUACUUUUACUGAAUUGAUACUUAUGAACUUCUCAGAUUUGUCAUCCAAAAUAAAUCCAUGCUCUAAAAAAUUGUUUCUACAUAAUUUGAGCAAAUGUGGAACAUCAGCAAAAACAUGGACCCUAUGUCCCAUGACUGGAUGUUGGAAAUUUGGAAGAGUGUAGGAAACAUUCAUAUUUUUCCAAAGACCUUGAUUGGUGUGUCAUAAUUGUAGAAAAUGGGUUGUUUCCACUUUGACACCAAUCCUCUGGCCAUGACAACCUGACCAGUUUUAUGAGGACCAAUUACUUGUUCUUUAGUUUUAUCAAACUCAAUUUGAUUGGACAAAUACAUCUCAUCGAAAGAUAAAACAGUUAAUUUAUCAUUGAUCUCCAUAUCCAUUCCUAGUAUUUAUUAAUUGCUAUUUUAGUAUCUGCUGUAGAAGUAUUAACAGGGUCAUUGCUAUUAGACAAAACAAGCCGUACAAAAGAAAGAUUACAUAUUUUUUUACUAAUAAAAUUAAAUAAUGUAUUAUGUAAUUCUUACAUUGUUAGAAAAUAAACUUUUUUUACAGCUACUUGCUGCUUCACAAUUAUCAGUUGAUUCAACUGUCCAAGUGUUGGGUUUCAACUUUUUCAUACUGCUAAGUUUAGCUGGACUUUGUUUUGCCAUGGGACUUUUGUGUGGUGUAAUUAUUUUCCUUGGACUUCUAACUUUAAAGCAUUUAGUUGGUACUGCAUCAAAUUUUAAUUUUCUUUUAUGUUGAGAAGAGUAUUUCAACAACGUCUCAAUUAAAGGCUUUUCAAUACAAGAAUUAUCAAAAUGUUUUGAACAUAUACGAGCUAUUGAAUAACAAUUAAAAAUAAAAAUACAAUACAACAAUUUGCUGUUUUGUCAAUGUCAAUAAAUACCAUUGGUGAAGUUUAAUGGUUUCAUAUGGUUUAGCCUGUUACAAGCUCUUAGCCAUUUUUGACGAAAUUCCUCUUGUUUUGAAAAUGAAUAAAAAUUAAUAUUUUCUGAUUUAAAUUAUAAUCAAAAUUUAAAAAUAAUUAUAAAACAAUUUAAAGUGAUAU
This is a long non-coding RNA of Daktulosphaira vitifoliae (grape phylloxera), 1527 nucleotides long. RefSeq lists it as uncharacterized. NCBI's taxonomy places the organism in Eukaryota, Metazoa, Arthropoda, Insecta, Hemiptera, Phylloxeridae. The transcript has 4 exons. The record is from RefSeq and is a predicted model, not a curated record.